CUUGAUCCCCAAACCAAAACGAGAAUCAGAUAUGGAGGGGAAAACUAUUCUUCUUUGCCUUAUGGUACUUGUGCUGCUAGGAAAUUCAAGCCAUGCUAGGAAUUGCCAUACCUAUCGUGCUUUCUGGGAACCUUUUAUUUGCUUUCCUGUUACUUGCCAGGCAACAUGCGAGCAGAAGUGGCGGAAUCUCCUUGAUCAUUCGUAUUGUCAUGCUGAUAACAUUUUGGUACACACACUUUUUCUCUGUAGCAUUCCAAAGAAAUUAACAUUCAACAACUUCAGUCAUGGGGGCUAGCUAAAUAAUCAUUCAAAUCCCACUGAUAAAAGGCAUCAGAUCCAGGUAAUUAAUCAAGGAGACAAGUAGACUGUCAAAAAUUAGCACUUGGUAAUUGUAAUUUGCAAUGAUAUGUUACCAACUACCUCCAUUCCUAAAUAUAACUGCCCCAACGUCUUAUAACAAUGGAGGUAAGCAU
Triticum aestivum (bread wheat) is the source of this 473-nucleotide long non-coding RNA. RefSeq lists it as uncharacterized. The transcript is spliced from 3 exons. NCBI's taxonomy places the organism in Eukaryota, Viridiplantae, Streptophyta, Magnoliopsida, Poales, Poaceae. The record is from RefSeq and is a predicted model, not a curated record.